Molecule: long non-coding RNA, 737 nt
Organism: Rhododendron vialii
Lineage: Eukaryota; Viridiplantae; Streptophyta; Magnoliopsida; Ericales; Ericaceae
Exons: 2
Source: RefSeq, a predicted model, not a curated record
CUCACCAAAACUUCUGCUGUUACUUGUAAAGCACAAUUAACCCAUUUGUCUUCCCACUUCAACACACAGCUAGCUUAGCUCCAUCCCUCCUUUCUGACAUUUCAGUUUCCAGAUCGAUCAUGGCACCCAAGGAUAUUCAAAUCGGACUAGUCGUGUUCCUUGUCGUCCUCAUGCUACACAACGUCGCUGCUGCGCAAUCACCUCAAUCAUCACCUGUAUCGGGUAAUUGCGACAACGUUCAAGCGGCAUGUCUCCCAGUUACCGUUAAUAUUCCGGUUAAUGUUCCGGUUAAAAUUCUGGCCGAUCCUUAAACAGCUGGGAUUGCAGAUUCCAAAACAGUGCUUUCAACAGAUGUGCCUGAUCAUCUGGUGGUAGCUACACCGUUCAAAUGAUCACCCCCUUCAAGUUGCAGUGUGCUUCUUUCUUUUCAUUGUGUCAUCUCAUGUCAUGUCAUGUAUUAUAAAUAAGCUGGCUCUUCACAAUUAAUGUUACGAGGGCUUUGAUUUACUAGUACUGUUUGCUUUUUCAUGGUCCGGUUUUCGGUAAGUUGAAACGAAUGAUGCUUUUCUCAAUGUUUAGAUUUAGAUUAUUGUUGUUUGUUUCCCUGGCCGGCAUCAUCCAGGAGAUGGCCAGGAUUUCAUGUGUGUGAUUGUACGUACGUACCAUUUGACAUUUUAAGAAAAUAAGGAAUGAAGGGGGCAGGAACUUCUGUUCGUUCAUCUAUGGAUUGGUCUCAA